GGGAGGGGAGUGCAGCAGUGUGAGGUCAGAAAGCCCAAAGGGCCGGCCUGAUGCACCCUCAACACAAGUGUAGGCACCCGGGCAGGCGGCCAGUGGGGGCUGCGAGCACAAGUCCGGGGACAAGGCCUGGAGAGAGCCCAGGCAUGGAGGGGAAUUCGGUGCUCCCCAGGCAUCCUGCAGUGACUGAGCCCGAUCAUCGUGACUGUGUGGGCGCGUGGGCAGAGGAACAGUUCUCUGAAGACAGGAACCCACAUGGUUCUUUAGCGAGGAAUCUGCGUGUGCGGACGCGGCCGCAGGGGGCGCAGUGACUCGGCCCUGCGGUGGGGCAGGAGGAGAUGGUGCAGUGUUGAAGUCUCCCUCUGAGAAUCGUCCUUGUCCCGGGUUCAGAGUCCAGCCCAGGGCCCUGCUGACCAGUUCCUCCCGUCGCCUGGACUGGAACAGCCUCGCUGAGUUCCAGAAAGCUAAGGAGAGCGCCCCGGCCCUCCAAGCGCGACCCCCACCCCCACCCCAGAGACGCAAGGCUUGGCCUGGGGGAAGCCAUCAGAAGUCACCUUGAAGGUGAGCCCUCGGCAUCCAGCGCAGGAACCGGCAGUCCCCGCCUCCUGAUGGGGGGAGUUCCUGGGGGCGUCACAGGCCUGGGAUGCUCGGCCACAAGUCGCUGCCCUUACCCAGCCCAGGAAGUCAGGAAUGUCCCAGAUGCCGCCGCCUCCUGGGGCCACUCCGGGAACGCACCACUCGCCAGUGUCCAUCUGCAAGGCCACACCAGGACUAAACAUCAGGAGCCUGGUUACCUGGCCCAGGUUUGGGGCCUGGGUCCCAGGGAGAAGCUGGGUCCUGAUCCACCGUCCUCCAUCUGGAGCCGCGUCCCACCCCCAAGUCCCGACUUGGGCAAAUCAGAGGAGAAAGUGCGGACGGAGCCCGCAGCCCCUUCCUGCCGCCCAACGCAUCUGAUGCCGAAGACAAAUCUCUGCUCCAGACAGCAUUUCUCCGACACCCCGCACUUCCUCAUUUACCUUUUCAAUAAGGAGAGCGCAGCCCUCGGCUCAGGACCAAGCAUGAGUGAUGCUACGGAGCCAAACAGUAUUCACUUUUGUCAUAUUCAUCAGUGCUAUGAUCUCCUGUUAAUGCAAACACUUUCCAGCUCUGGUGCCGGCUCCUCGUAGAACAAAUUCAUUUCAGCUGACAAAGUCAGCUAAGCAGAGACAAUAAGUGGAUAAUAACACAGGUGACGCUCAGCCUCAGAAACCACUGGCGCGUGGAGCCGAGUGGACCAGGGCGUGGCUGAGGUCACGGGGGAGCGGUGCCGGCAGCCGUCUGGUGCCGCGCUUGCCGUGGGUCCGUGUUGUUCAGGCACGUGGGCGUCAGGAGAGGGGAAGGAGACUUUCACCCACCGGGAUCUGAGCUUGGAGCUGCACCCGGCUGCCCCCCCACCUCCUCAAUCUGCAGCCGCCUGGGCAGCCCCCUUGCAGGUGGGUCUUGGCUGCGCAUGGAGUCACUGACCGGAGGGGGCAGGCAGUCGCCCCCGCUGUUUCCUGCUGGCCGCGGUCCAGGGAGUGCGGGGUCCCCCUAGCAGCCUCCCCACCUCUAUAAACCAGGUUGCGGCAUGCUGAGGGGCAUGUGAUGGCGGCUGCAGACGGGGUGGAUCACAGGGCCCCAGGGUGUUCCUGCAGGCAGCUGGUGCCAGGGUUGGCCUCUGGAUCUAGAGCCCUCUGAGCCUUGUCGCAAUGGGGCUGGUGCUGCCCCGGGCAGGCCACUGGUGGGUGCCAAGGAGGUUCCAGGUCCUAGGGCCCAUGAGAGCCUCACCACUGCUUGUUCUUUAAAAAAAAAAUUAAAAAUAUUUAUGUGAAAGGCAGAGCUACAGAGAGAGGGAGACAGUGAGAUCUUCCCUCCACUGGUUCACGCCCCCAUGACUGCAAUGGCCAGGGCCGCCAGGUCUCCACUUGGUGUCAGGGACCCAAGCACUUGGGCCACCGUCGGCUUUCCCAGGUACGUUAGUAAGGAGCAGGAUCUGAACCACAACAGCUGGAAACCAAAUCUGUGCUCCUAUGGGAUUAUGGGAUGCCGGUGUCACUGGUGGCCACUUAACCCACUGCACCGCAGGGCUGGUCCCCUCGCCUCCGCUCUGUCCAGGGAGACUUGUGAGCACCUGGAUUUGCAGCCCUGGUCCCCGGCCUUCUCCAACAGACAGGGGCUCUGGGCCACGACUGAGCUUCCCAGGGACCCAGCCCUCUGCUUCCUGCACGGUGGGCAGCGGAAGGAGGGAGCCAUCACCACGUCAGCCCUCCUGGGCCCUGGGUUAUUUACACAGAGCAGGUGCGUGUCAUGGUUUGUGACCUCUGACCUGUCCUGCUGCCCUCAGGAACCUACUGUGUCAACUCUCCUAACCUCCUGGUGGCGUCCACCCGGCAACCCCAGGCCAAGGAGGCCACCAGGACUCACAGUCGACUAACGAGGACCGACUGCCCUCCUGCUGCCGUCCACGGGGUGAGUUGCAGGUGGCCUGGGGCCCCGCCUCCUCUGGUUCCUCAGCCUUUCCCGCCUCCCCUUGCAGAGUUGAGAGAUGAGAUGAUGUUUCGCAUAGCAAAUACCCAGGGAGGCAGAGUCCUGAUGUUUUUAAACCAGAAAGACAGAAAGAGAGAGAGAGAGAGGACUCAAUUGCCAAGAGCUACCAGGAGCGCAAUUUUUCAACACCGUCAGCACAACCCUGCCGCUCCCGGCCUCCGCGCUGCUUUGCUUUGCUGAACUUUCCCUGGACGAAGGGAUGGAAGAAGCCCAGCGCGGGCCCCGCGGGCUCGACACGGAACUGGGGCUCCCUGAGUGCGAGUCUCCCUGGCAGCCCCAGAAGCAUCCAGCCGGCCACACGAUGUGGUUUGUGUCAACUCCCUGUGUUUCCUGCUGCAGUUCCCACGUGGAAUGAGGGCCUGGCUGCUCGCCUGGGUGAGGGACUCCGCACAACCUGAACUCCUGAGAAGGAAGAAAACGAGGCAGCCCGGCGACGCCCAGGCCCGGCAGGGGCUCGUGGCGUUGAUGGUGACCUAGAGGGCCGUCCGCCCUGGCCGAUUCCCCUCAGAGACCGGCACGCAGUGGAGAGGGAAGGCAGGCACGGGGGACCACCGGCUUCCCACGCACGUACCCUCCUGACAAGAACACUUUCCCUGUUUGCUGCACCGCCCUCACACCCCAGGGAUGGGGGGCUGCAGCCGCCUGCCCCUGAGCUCUCUUUGUGAUUGGACUUGGCUGCUGGCGCGUGCCGAGCUACUUCCCGGCACCGGGAGGGUUCUCUCCCGGCGACUGCUGCUCUGCUGGAGCCAUGGGAGCCACGCAAAUCUCUUCUCCCUCCAGGGCUCCGGGCUGAGUGACACACACAGGGCUCCGGGCUGAGUGACACACACAGGGCUCUGGGCUGAGUGACACAGGGCACAGGGCUCCGGGCUGAGUGACACAGGCACAGGGCUCUGGGGUGAGUGACACACACAGGGCUCCGGGCUGAGUGACACAGGCACAGGGCUCCGGGCUGAGUGACACAGGCACAGGGCUCCGGGCUGAGUACACACGCGCAGGGCUCCGGGCUGAGUACACAUUCACAGGGCUCCAGGCUGAGUACACACACACAGGGUUCCGGGACUCAGCAGGAGUUAGCCGAGCAGCACCCAUGCCUCAUUUCCCUCUGCUGUCACCGGGUAAUCUGCGGUGUUGAAUUGUGCCGGGCAGUCUGCUGGCUAAAUGUGUCAUCUUUUAUUUUUUUAAAAAUAUUUAUUCAUUUUAUUUGAAAGGCAGAGUUACAGAGAGUAGAGGGAGAGAGAGAGAGAGAGAGAGAGAGAGAGAGAGAGAGAGAGAGAAAGAGAGGUUUUCCAUCUGCUGGUUCACUCCCCAGAUGGCCACAAUGGCCGGAGCUGUGCUGAUCCGAAGCCAGGAGCCAAGAGCAUCUUCCAGGUCUCCCACGUGGGUGCAGGGGCCCAAGGACUUGGACCAUCUUCUACUGCUCUCCCAGGCCAUAGCAGAGAACUGGAUGGAAAGUGGAGCAGCCAGGACUUGAACCGGCGCCCAUAUGGGAUGCUGGCACUGCAGGUGGCAGCUUUACCUGCUAUGCCACAGCGCCGGCCCCU
Oryctolagus cuniculus (rabbit) is the source of this 4106-nucleotide non-coding RNA. NCBI's taxonomy places the organism in Eukaryota, Metazoa, Chordata, Mammalia, Lagomorpha, Leporidae. The record is from RefSeq and is a predicted model, not a curated record.